This 75-nucleotide transfer RNA is filed under the name Nonomuraea diastatica. RNAcentral's name for it is "Nonomuraea sp. KC712 tRNA-Val". It matches the Rfam family "tRNA". From Rfam's summary of the family: Transfer RNA (tRNA) molecules are approximately 80 nucleotides in length. The record is from RNAcentral. Lineage: Bacteria; Bacillati; Actinomycetota; Actinomycetes; Streptosporangiales; Streptosporangiaceae.
GGGCGGUUAGCUCAGCGGUAGAGCACUCGCCUUACAAGCGAGGGGUCACUGGUUCGAACCCAGUACCGCCCACCG